GUAACGGCCCCGGAAAUAUUAAAAAGAAAUAAGUAUUUAAAUAUAUCGAAUGCGGAAGCGAGAUCAAAAUUUUAGUUAACAUCCCUUACACGAAAAACCAAAAAACGUACUUAAAAUAUAAAAGAUUAAACUAACUAAGAAAGAAACUCGAAAAUAAAACUAUGCGUAUGACUACAGAGUCUCUAGGCAUCCCCUUCGUCGUCCUCCUGCGGAACGGGCUCGGGAACCAUGUCUUCCUGAUCUGAAAUGGUUAAUUAAGGAGUGAGCUACACUAGCCCAGUAAGAACAUCACGAUAUCUCACCGUCACGGAGAUAAAGGUGGGUAGAAAAACACAAAAAAGACCAAUGGAGCAUAAUUUACAACAAACUCGUUUAUUAACAUGAAAACCUUUACCAUCCACUUACCUUGGUGGAAUUUAUGAAAACUAUAUAAGAAAAACAAUAACAUUAUCAUAAUCAUUGAAUAAUAUAAGCUGUAAAACAUAACACUUAUCACGCCUCUUGUAAUUCAAUCAUUGUACAACAUAUCUUUUUCUCAUUUACCAGCCUACUAGUAUCCGUGGGGGUCCAUAGGGGUUCCGCUACCCGUUAACCUUUAACAUUCAUAAUCAGUUUCCAGGGCCGUCCCCAUACCCCGUCCGGUAUGGGCGCCAAAACCAUGAACCUCAAUACCCCGUCCGGUAUGAGGGUGAAACGGGCCGUCCCCAUACCCCGUCCGGUAUGGGCGCCAAAACCAUAAACCUCAAUACCCCGUCCGGUAUGAGGGUGAAACGGGCCGUCCCCAUACCCCGUCCGGUAUGGGUGCCAAAACCAUAAGAUCUCCAUACCCCGUCCGGCAUGUGAGACCACAAUCCCGGUAGGGUUCCCUACGGACCCGGUCCGUCCACCAUCUCCCAAGAUAUCUAGUCAGGCUGACCCCCAUAAUACAAUUAUCAGUCUACACAACCUUUCAUUUUCCUUUUCCUCAAUCAGUAUCAUCAAUUCACAUACAAACAAGCAAACAGUAAUUCAUGCCGAACAUACAACAUACAGUAUCAGUUUUUCAGUCAUUCAACCCAUGAUUAAUAAAAACGUAGUAAAUGCGCACAAAUCUGUAAAAUAAACACAUCAAACCUCAUUUUGCAUUUAAAGCUGUAAACAGGCCAAAUAACAGUAAAUCACCAAUCACACUAGACUCGGGCUCCAUUAGCCACCUUAAGCAAUUUCACACAUUCGUUAAUUCAAGAAAUACCGUUUUAUCAUUUUGAACUUUUAAUACCGUGAUAGGAAAUAGGGUGAGGGGUCCUUACUUGUUUUCGGGAUCCGAAUACGAUUCACAGUGCGCCUGCAGGCCGUCCCUAAUUUUCCCUGAAUUUUUCCCGGGAAACUGAAACACACUAACCGUACCUGCACGUGUUCCAAAAAAAAUCCAAAUUAGGCCCAGGGCCUCUUUCGGCCCAAAUCGCAACUCCGGCAAGGCGGCUCCGCCGUGCUCCGGCGACGGCGCCGCCGCUGGCGGCGGCGAGUCGCCUCGGGUUGGCUGUUUUCGGCCGUUUUCGGUCGAAUUCGGCCACACUCGCAUUGGUCCUUGUCAGAAAACAACCUUAGGGCCCUCGGGGGGCAAAAAAAUCACGGAAAAACGGAGCUUACCGGCGGCGGCGCUCUCGGGUGCGGCGGCUCUCCGGCGAGGUUCGUGUUUUGGUGAUUCGACUCCGGUCAACCUGUAGAGAAAAGAAUGGUGAUCACGGUGAUAUAAAAAUUGCAUCGAACGGAGGCCGGGAAGGGCCUCGUCGGAGGCAAAAAUCGAGAGGGGGCGCGGCGGCGCUGCUGGGCUUCGGCCGCGUAUUCCGGCCGUUUGGCCGGGAUUUCGGCUUCGAUUU
RNAcentral lists this long non-coding RNA (1859 nucleotides) under Carica papaya (papaya). Its description in RNAcentral is "long non-coding RNA (CPAP_LNC002014)". Lineage: Eukaryota; Viridiplantae; Streptophyta; Magnoliopsida; Brassicales; Caricaceae. The record is from RNAcentral.